AGCUUUGCACAGUGGCAGUAUCAUAGCCAAUGAGGUUUAUCCAAGGCGUGAUUAUUGCUAAAAAAAAAAAAAGAGGAGCAGCCAGGAUACAAACCGGCGCCCACAUGGGAUGCCAGUGCCACAGGCGGAAGCUUAGCCCACUACGCCACAGUGCUGGUCCCAGGAACUUUUAUAUUAGCCUGUUUCAUAGGCAAACAAAAAAUAUCUGUAAGGCAAAAACAAAUCCCAAAGACAGC
Molecule: small nuclear RNA, 236 nt
Filed under: Oryctolagus cuniculus (rabbit)
Lineage: Eukaryota; Metazoa; Chordata; Mammalia; Lagomorpha; Leporidae
Description: U4 spliceosomal RNA (ENSOCUG00000031454.1)
Rfam family: U4 spliceosomal RNA (bases 1-72)
Source: RNAcentral